UUUAGAAUCUUUUACUUGAUAGUGGGACAUGUUGGAUGUGUAUGUGGAAUCCAGACUGUUCAUUUGCCAGGCCUCGCUGUAGAUGGGACAUCCACCGGUGAGAUCAUGGUCAAUGGCUGGACCUUUUCUCCUAGCUGCAUAAUUGCAAACUUCAUAAGUCAUCCAAUCCAGUCAGUGGUUUAGAUGGAUUAUCCUACCUGCCAAUUGUAGUAGCUUUUCCCAUUGAAACUUGACCAUUGGUUAGAAUUUUUUCUUCUACAAUCAGUGGGUAGGAUCAUUCAAUUAGUGUUGUUCUUGGGGUAUCCCUAAUUCAAUCCAGGGAUCGACAGAUGAAUGGCGUGGAUCCUGUUGAUACCGGCCAUAUCAGUGGCGAUUUAGAGCAGAGCCCCUUUGUCUGGUUAUUUUCAGAGCACCAGUAAAGUAGUCUGCAAGAGAUACAAAAUUAUAGUCCGCUGACAAUUGACAUGGGCGGCCCAUGGUGCGAAACUUACUGCUGAUUGGAUGCCAUGGUGGGACCCAGCAGAUCAUCCAAUCAGUGCUCUUCAUCUCAUGGCCCCAUCGGACAGUGGGACCAUAAAAAAUAGUGGUACCAUGGAUAAUAAACUUUUAGGGUUGUUUGGAUUGCUAUAUUCCUCCCUAAUAUAAUCUAAUAGUAUCACAAUCACAAAUUAAAUAUCUGUCUCCUAAAGUCAUACUCGUUCACAGUCAAAAUCAAUUGUUUGUAUAUUCCACUAACUUUCCUUCAUUUGGUAAAUGAGAAUAGUCCUCUAGCAUUCACACAUUCGGAAAAAAAAAAAGAAAAAAAAGCCUUAUAGUGGUCUGCACUUCUACACAUCCUCCAUACGUUUCAGCUAUUUGUAUAUCAAAUUAGGUGGGCCUCACGAUAUUAUGCUUAUAAUAUCCUACAUAUAUAUUAGAUUACAAAUGAGUGCAUAUACAAUCAGCUACUACAAUAUCCACAUUUCACAGGGAACAAAAGAGGAUGAGAUCUUGGAUUUGGUUGGAAAUACUGAUUUUCUGGUGUUUGCUAGAUAUAUGCAGGUUUCCCAUUGAUGACCAGGGGCAUACCACUUUUGUCAUUGAGUACUUCAAAGAGAAGUACAGAGUUGUCCUCCACAAGAUUUUCUGGCCAUGUCUUCAAGUUGGCAGUGAUAACAGACCAACAUACUUGCCUAUGGAGGUUUGUCAAAUAGUUGAAGGGUAGCGAUACUCGAGGAAAUUGAAUGUGAGGCAAGUUACUGCCAUCUUGAGGGCUGCUUGUCAACGUCCUGUUGACAGGGAGAAACAUUCAUGAGGAAAUUGAAUGUGAGGCAAGUUACUGCCAUCUUUUGAGUUUUUAAUUCUUUUUUUUUUUCUACUUCUUAGAAUUUGAAUUUUUGAUGGUUUUGUGAUCUGGGUUUUUGAUCGUUUGGUCUGAAACAUCAGAUUGCAUGAUGGGUUUUGAUUUUUAAGCUUUUUCUCCCAUUUAGGUCCUUGUUAAGAUCAUGGGUUUCUC
Long non-coding RNA from Magnolia sinica, 1495 nucleotides. RefSeq lists it as uncharacterized. The transcript is spliced from 3 exons. The record is from RefSeq and is a predicted model, not a curated record. NCBI's taxonomy places the organism in Eukaryota, Viridiplantae, Streptophyta, Magnoliopsida, Magnoliales, Magnoliaceae.